Molecule: ribosomal RNA, 581 nt
Filed under: Stygamoeba regulata
Lineage: Eukaryota; Discosea; Stygamoebida
Description: partial Bacterial large subunit ribosomal RNA
Rfam family: Bacterial large subunit ribosomal RNA
Source: RNAcentral
AGGAAAAGAAAUCAACCGAGAUUCCCUAAGUAGUGGCGAGCGAACGGGGACUAGCCCUUAAGUUGAUUUGAGUGUAGUGGAAGGCUCUGGAAAGUGCCGCCGUAGUGGGUGAUAGCCCCGUACACGAAACGCUCUUAUCAAUGAAAUCGAGUAGGACGGGGCACGAGAAACCUUGUCUGAACAUGGGGGGACCAUCCUCCAAGGCUAAAUACUACUGACUGACCGAUAGUGAACCAGUACCGUGAGGGAAAGGCGAAAAGAACCCCGGAGAGGGGAGUGAAAUAGAACCUGAAACCGUAUGCGUACAAGCAGUGGGAGCCUACUUUGUUGGGUGACUGCGUACCUUUUGUAUAAUGGGUCAGCGACUUAUAUUUAGUAGCAAGGUUAAGUGAAUAACGGAGCCGUAGCGAAAGCGAGUGUUAACUGCGCGUUUAGUUGCUAGGUAUAGACCCGAAACCCGGUGAUCUAGCCAUGAGCAGGUUGAAGGUUGAGUAACAUCAACUGGAGGACCGAACCCACUAACGUUGAAAAGUUAGGGGAUGACUUGUGGCUGGGGGUGAAAGGCCAAUCAAACCGGGAGA